RNAcentral lists this ribosomal RNA (253 nucleotides) under uncultured bacterium. RNAcentral's name for it is "partial 16S ribosomal RNA". It matches the Rfam family "Bacterial small subunit ribosomal RNA", at positions 524 to 776 of the family's 1533-position model. The record is from RNAcentral.
AACGUAGGAGACGAACGUUAUCCGGAGUUACUGGGCGUAAAGGGCGUGUAGGCGGUAUGUUAAGUCUGGCGUGAAAGCUCUCGGCUAAACCGGGAGAGGUCGUUGGAUACUGGCACACUUGAGGAUGGUAGAGGCGUGUGGAAUUCCGGGUGUAGUGGUGAAAUGCGUAGAGAUCCGGAGGAACACCAGUGGCGAAGGCGGCUAUCUGGACGGUUUCUGACGCUAAGACGCGAAAGCGUGGGGAGCAAACAGG